CCCCUCCUUACCCAGACACUCGAGAAGAAAGGGACCAAGUCUAUUUGGAGGAGACAAGCGGACCUGAGCCUUAUUGUUGUGAGCUUGUGAGUUGCCUGUAACUCCCAGAACCGACCCAACAGAACCACCUCUGAAUGUCCUCUGGUGUCUGCAGCUGGUCUCUGGUGUCUGCAGGUGGUCUCCUCUGCUGGUGUCGUCAGGAUCAGGAGCUUCCAGAAGAAUGUGCCUUUCAAUGACUCUUUCCCCCUUAUUUGUUAUAUUAAUUAAAUAAAUCUCAAUUUAUAUA
Molecule: non-coding RNA, 286 nt
Organism: Nothobranchius furzeri (turquoise killifish)
Lineage: Eukaryota; Metazoa; Chordata; Actinopteri; Cyprinodontiformes; Nothobranchiidae
Source: RefSeq, a predicted model, not a curated record